UACGUAGGGCGCAAGCGUUGUCCGGAAUUAUUGGGCGUAAAGAGCUCGUAGGCGGUUUGUCGCGUCUGUCGUGAAAGCCCACGGCUUAACUGUGGGUCUGCGGUGGAUACGGGCAGACUAGAGGCAGGUAGGGGAGAAUGGAAUUCCCGGUGUAGCGGUGAAAUGCGCAGAUAUCGGGAGGAACACCGGUGGCGAAGGCGGUUCUCUGGGCCUGUACUGACGCUGAGGAGCGAAAGCCAGGGGAGCAAACGGG
This 253-nucleotide ribosomal RNA is filed under the name uncultured bacterium. RNAcentral's name for it is "partial 16S ribosomal RNA". It matches the Rfam family "Bacterial small subunit ribosomal RNA", at positions 524 to 776 of the family's 1533-position model. The record is from RNAcentral.